This 254-nucleotide unclassified non-coding RNA is filed under the name Chinese potato phytoplasma. RNAcentral's name for it is "16S-23S ribosomal RNA intergenic spacer". The stretch from base 107 to 182 matches the Rfam family "tRNA". Lineage: Bacteria; Bacillati; Mycoplasmatota; Mollicutes; Acholeplasmatales; Acholeplasmataceae. The record is from RNAcentral.
CUAAGGAAACAAUUAUCAUCUUCAGUUUUGAGAGACUUAAGAAAGUUUUUCAUUGUAACUUGCUUGCAAAUUGUAUUUUCAACAUUUAAAUCUUUUUAAGAUUAAGGGCCUAUAGCUCGCUCAGUUGGUUAGAGCACAUGCCUGAUAAGCGUGAGGUCGGUGGUUCAAGUCCAUUUAGGCCACCAUAACCACAAAUAGGCAAAAUCUUAAAAAAGCUCUUUGAAAAGUAGAUAAACGAAGGUUAAAAAAUCAAA